This is a long non-coding RNA of Xyrauchen texanus (razorback sucker), 213 nucleotides long. RefSeq lists it as uncharacterized. The transcript has 4 exons. The record is from RefSeq and is a predicted model, not a curated record. Lineage: Eukaryota; Metazoa; Chordata; Actinopteri; Cypriniformes; Catostomidae.
UUGUCUUGCAGUAUCUGCCAACACACUUUCUCUUGUGGAGCUACCCGAGGAUAACAUUAAUCCAGGUGAAAGAACUUCUGCAGCAGACGAUGAGGAGACUCUGUCAGUAGACUCAAGAAGGCUGGAGGACUCAGAUGGUGUACUGCCUGAGAGCCAAUCUGGGAACAUAGAUUCAAAAACUGUCAGAGGUCUGUACAGCAUACACUUAAAAAA